GCCAGGUGUGGUGGCGGGCACCUGUAAUCCCAGCUACUCGGGAGGCUGAGGCAGGAGAAUCACUUGAACCUGGGAGGCGGAGGUUGCAGUGAGCAGAGAUUGUGCCACUGCACUCCAGCCUAGGCGACAGAGUGAGACUCAGUCUCAA
This 148-nucleotide non-coding RNA is filed under the name Gorilla gorilla gorilla (western lowland gorilla). The record is from Rfam by way of RNAcentral. Lineage: Eukaryota; Metazoa; Chordata; Mammalia; Primates; Hominidae.